AUGGCGCCCAGCAAGAGGAACUAUCCAUCGGGUAGCCACAAAAGGAAAAAAAAGGAGAAAGAGAAUAAACUUAUAAAGUCACAGCGCGGAGGUAUUCACAAUUUUUUCAUGCCAAGUGAUAUUGGUGCCUGUUCCGCCGACCCAGCUGAUGCGUUGGCGAUUGUUGCCAUUGUGGAAGAGCAACAAACAAAUGAAAACUCGGACUCUAAUCAGCAAGAAGAAAAUAUCAACUCCAACAUCGGCGAUGACAAUAUCUUCAAGUCUAGCACCAACAGGAGUCAGAGUUCCUUAGCACAUGAUGGACUAGGACAUUGGAGGCAUAUUAGUGAGAAGCUCAAAGAACAUGAAAAUAGCAUUGAGCAUAUUAAUAACAUGAACAAGUGGAAUGAAUUGAGAGUUAGACUGAGAAAACAUGAAACUAUUGAUAAGGAUUUGCAACAUCAAAUAACAAAGGAGAAAGAACGUGUCAGGCAAGUUCUGUUAAGAAUAAUAGCAGUUGUGAAAUGUCUUGGUAAACGCAACUUGGCUUUUCGUGGAAGUAGUGAGCAGCUUUACAAGGAUGAUAAUGGUAAUUUCUUAGCUUGCAUUGAGAUGAUUGCAGAAUUUGAUAUGGUAAUGCAAGAUCACCUUAGACGUGUUGAGAACAAGGAAACCCAUUAUCACUAUCUCAGUCAUAAAAUACAAAAUGAGCUGAUAUCUCUUUUGGCUUCUGACAUCACAUGUUCUAUCAUAAAGGUUGUUAAAGAGGCCAAGUAUUUCUCUGUUAUCCUAGAUUGUACCCCUGAUGUUAGUCAUCAAGAACAAAUGACCUUUUUAGUUCGAUGUGUUAAUCUGUCUGAUGGCAAAAUAAAAAUCGAGGAGUACUUUCUGGGGUUCUUGAAAGUGGAUGACACUUCUGGCUUAGGGAUUUUCAAAGUACUGCUUGAUUCUGUUGAGUCUUUUGGCCUAAAUAUUCAAGAUAUAAGGGGUCAAGGAUAUGAUAACGGUUCUAAUAUGAAAGGAAAAUGCCGAGGGGUACAAUCUAGGUUACUUGAUAUGAAUCCAAGAGCAUUAUAUAUGCCAUGUGCUUGUCAUAGCCUAAAUCUCACUCUCUGUGAUAUGGCAAAAUCAUGUGAGAAAGCUGUUUCAUUUUUUGGAAUUGUUCAACGCAUAUAUGUAUUAUUUGCUGGCUCUACAAAAAGGUGGAAUGUUUUGCUUAAACAUGUUCCUAGUUUGACUGUGAAAUCAUUGUCCAAUACUCGUUGGGAGAGUAGAAUCAAAAGUGUUACAGCAAUAAGAUAUCAAGCCGCUGAGUUAAGGUCAGCUUUGUCUGAGUUACGUCAUGCUUCUGACACUGAUCCUAAAGAUAAAAGUGAUGCCAAAAAUUUAUUUGAUGCACUUGGUCGCUUUGAGUUUAUAGUUGGUAUGAUUAUCUGGCAUGAUGUUCUAUUUGUUGUAAAUAAAGUUAGCAAGAUGUUGCAAUCGUCAACCAUGUGCAUUGACUCCGCUUUGAAGCAAAUAAAAGGUAUAACAAAAUAUUUUGAGAAGUACAGAGAUGAGGGGUUUUCUUCAAGUCUGACCAUCGCUAAAGGUAUUGCAACUGAAAUGGGAAUAGAGCCAUUGUUUCCAGUGAAACGUCAUGCUAAGAGGAAGAAACAGUAUGAUGAAAAUUUAAAGAACUCAUGGUCUUUAAAGAUAUAUUCGUUUUUACUGAGCUCGGGCACUCUCACGUCAUUAAGUGACAAUGAACUUGAAGAGUGUUGCACAAAAUUUGCAGAAACUUUCUCUCUUAAUGGUUCAUCUGAUGUUGAGGUAUACGAUCUUAUUUCUGAAUUGAAGAUUAUGAGAUUCACUUUGCCAGAUGGCGCAAUGUCUGCUAUGGAGAUUUUCAGGCAUGUCAGAGAAGUUGAUUGUUACCCCAAUAUAUCCAUUGCCUAUCGCAUCUUAUUUACUGUGCCUGUGACGGUCGCAUCGGCCGAGAGAAGCUUUUCAAAGUUGAAAUUAUUGAAGAAUUAUUUGAGGUCAACCGUGACUCAAGAGAGGUUAAAUGGUUUGGCCACAUUAUGCAUCGAGAAGAAAUUAUUGGAUGAGAUUGACAUCGACCCCAUCAUAAGUGACUUUGCAUCGAGGAAUGUUAGAAGAAAAUUUUAA
This 2130-nucleotide ribosomal RNA is filed under the name Triticum aestivum (bread wheat). RNAcentral describes it as "partial small subunit ribosomal RNA". Lineage: Eukaryota; Viridiplantae; Streptophyta; Magnoliopsida; Poales; Poaceae. The record is from RNAcentral.